CUGGUGUGUGGGUUGGCGCCCACACAAGGGUUUCAAAGGUUAACCCCCCUAAGAGGGUCUCCCGCCCACAGGGGGAAUGAGAUACGCCCCAGAUUCCUACGGGAAGGCAGCAGUGGGGAAUAUUGCACAAUGGGCGCAAGCCUGAUGCAGCGACGCCGCGUGGGGGAUGACGGCCUUCGGGUUGUAAACCUCUUUCAGCACAGACGAAGCGCAAGUGACGGUAUGUGCAGAAGAAGCACCGGCCAACUACGUGCCAGCAGCCGCGGUAAUACGUAGGGUGCGAGCGUUGUCCGGAAUUACUGGGCGUAAAGAGCUUGUAGGUGGUUUGUCGCGUUGUUCGUGAAAUCUCACGGCUUAACUGUGAGCGUGCGGGCGAUACGGGCAGACUAGAGUACUGCAGGGGAGACUGGAAUUCCUGGUGUAGCGGUGGAAUGCGCAGAUAUCAGGAGGAACACCGGUGGCGAAGGCGGGUCUCUGGGCAGUAACUGACGCUGAGAAGCGAAAGCGUGGGGAGCGAACAGGAUUAGAUACCCUGGUAGUCCACGCCGUAAACGGUGGGUACUAGGUGUGGGUUUCCUUCCUUGGGAUCCGUGCCGUAGCUAACGCAUUAAGUACCCCGCCUGGGGAGUACGGCCGCAAGGCUAAAACUCAAAGGAAUUGACGGGGGCCCGCACAAGCGGCGGAGCAUGUGGAUUAAUUCGAUGCAACGCGAAGAACCUUACCUGGGCUUGACAUGCACUAGAAAGCCGUAGAGAUACGGCCCCCCUCGUGGUUGGUGUGCAGGUGGUGCAUGGCUGUCGUCAGCUCGUGUCGUGAGAUGUUGGGUUAAGUCCCGCAACGAGCGCAACCCUUGUCUCAUGUUGCCAGCGGGUAAUGCCGGGGACUCGUGAGAGACUGCCGGGGUCAACUCGGAGGAAGGUGGGGAUGACGUCAAGUCAUCAUGCCCCUUAUGUCCAGGGCUUCACACAUGCUACAAUGGCCGGUACAAAGGGCUGCGAUGCCGUGAGGUGGAGCGAAUCCUUUCAAAGCCGGUCUCAGUUCGGAUCGGGGUCUGCAACUCGACCCCGUGAAGUCGGAGUCGCUAGUAAUCGCAGAUCAGCAACGCUGCGGUGAAUACGUUCCCGGGCCUUGUACACACCGCCCGUCACGUCAUGAAAGUCGGUAACACCCGAAGCCGGUGGCCUAACCCCUCGUGGGAGGGAGCCGUCGAAGUGAUCCGCCAGUCCG
RNAcentral lists this ribosomal RNA (1227 nucleotides) under Mycobacterium sp. Its description in RNAcentral is "bacterial SSU rRNA". It matches the Rfam family "Bacterial small subunit ribosomal RNA", at positions 245 to 1478 of the family's 1533-position model. The record is from RNAcentral. Lineage: Bacteria; Bacillati; Actinomycetota; Actinomycetes; Mycobacteriales; Mycobacteriaceae.